This 324-nucleotide unclassified non-coding RNA is filed under the name uncultured Entrophosporaceae. RNAcentral describes it as "uncultured Claroideoglomeraceae sequence contains 5.8S rRNA gene". The stretch from base 1 to 53 matches the Rfam family "5.8S ribosomal RNA", at positions 102 to 154 of the family's 154-position model. The record is from RNAcentral. Lineage: Eukaryota; Fungi; Glomeromycota; Glomeromycetes; Entrophosporales; Entrophosporaceae.
GAACGCAUAUUGCACUCUCUGGUAAUCCGGAGAGUAUGCCUGUUUGAGGGUCAGUAAAUAAUAAUUAUCAUAAUCUUUUGAUUGUGGAAUUGGGCUUUUAUUUCAUUUUAAUGAUUUAUGGCCUUAAAUUUAUGUUACCGCUUGUUUAAUAUGAAAUUCGACCGAAUGGAGCAAUUAAACAUUCUCUCGUUAGGCGGAUUCAUCAAGCAAUUACGAUUUUUUGGCCGUCGAAGCACUUUUUUUUUUAUAAGUGCUUGGUCGAGAUUGUAAGAUACAUUUUUAAAAAUGACCUCAAAUCAGGCAAGAAUACCCGCUGAACUUAAG